Molecule: ribosomal RNA, 153 nt
Filed under: Triticum aestivum (bread wheat)
Lineage: Eukaryota; Viridiplantae; Streptophyta; Magnoliopsida; Poales; Poaceae
Description: partial small subunit ribosomal RNA
Source: RNAcentral
AUGAGGGCUCUAUUCUGGAACAUUAGGGGUUUCGGUGCUAGGGGGCGCCGGGAUCAAAUUAAAGACUUGGUUCGUGGGAAUAAUGUUGAUUUGAUAGGGAUGGUGGAGACUUUCAAAGCUUCUUUCUCUCCUCAUGAAUUGUCAUCUAUUGCG